RNAcentral lists this long non-coding RNA (606 nucleotides) under Carica papaya (papaya). RNAcentral's name for it is "long non-coding RNA (CPAP_LNC014525)". Lineage: Eukaryota; Viridiplantae; Streptophyta; Magnoliopsida; Brassicales; Caricaceae. The record is from RNAcentral.
UCUCUAGUAAUCUCUUAGAGGGAGUUUCCACUACUAACAUUUUUCCUAAACCUUCUAGUCUUAAUUCUAGGUUACCAAAAAAUGCAUAAGAAAUAAAACAAUGAGUUGCACUAGUAUCGAUCACAGCCUUGCCAGAAUAUUAUGAAUAGAAAGCAUACCCUGGAUGAGAACAGGAACAAAAAGGACUUCAAUUUCAUCUAAAUGGUACAUUCGACCUUGUGCUAUGGGUUAGGCUAUAUCCUUCGAUUGUUGAGGGCAGUCCUUUAUAAGGUGUUGGGUGCUUCCGCACUAAUAGUAGGCGUGAUUGAUACGCCGACAUGGUAGGUCAUCAUGCGAGCGACCACAAAGUUGAUAAGGUUGGUUAGUUCAGGCAGGUGGGGCUGUAGGUGGGGGUAAGGCAGGAAGAAGGGCAAUUCUAGUUUGUUUGUCUAGGGGCUACUUACUAGGUCAGGCAAUCUCUUUCUAAGCUAUUGGGGCUAUUGUUAGGUUUGAACCCAAAUAAAGCAUUAGUGCUUAGUCGAGAUAAGAUCUUCGGCCAAUUUGACAUGUUCAAGCACCUCUACAUAUGAGCUGGGUCUCACAUCACGACUCGAUCAUAAAUGUCGG